Molecule: ribosomal RNA, 481 nt
Filed under: uncultured bacterium
Lineage: Bacteria
Description: SSU rRNA
Rfam family: Bacterial small subunit ribosomal RNA
Source: RNAcentral
AGGACGAACGCUGGCGGCGUGCUUAACACAUGCAAGUCGAGCGGUGAUCCUCCUUCGGGAGGUGAGCAGCGGCGAACGGGUGAGUAACACGUGGGCAACCUGCCCCUCACACUGGGAUAACCUCGGGAAACCGGGGCUAAUACCGGAUAUGACCUCGAGCGGCAUCUCUUGAGGUGGAAAGCUCCGACGGUGAGGGAUGGGCCCGCGGCCUAUCAGCUUGUUGGUGGGGUAAUGGCCUACCAAGGCGACGACGGGUAGCCGGCCUGAGAGGGCGACCGGCCACACUGGGACUGAGACACGGCCCAGACUCCUACGGGAGGCAGCAGUGGGGAAUAUUGCGCAAUGGGCGAAAGCCUGACGCAGCGACGCCGCGUGAGGGAUGAAGGCCUUCGGGUUGUAAACCUCUUUCAGCAGGGACGAAGCGAAAGUGACGGUACUGCAGAAGAAGCACCGGCUAACUACGCGCCAGCAGCCGCGGUAA